Molecule: ribosomal RNA, 450 nt
Filed under: uncultured bacterium
Lineage: Bacteria
Description: partial 16S ribosomal RNA
Rfam family: Bacterial small subunit ribosomal RNA
Source: RNAcentral
GUGUGGAAUAUUGGACAAUGGGCGAAAGCCUGAUCCAGCCAUGCCGCGUGUGUGAAGAAGGUCUUCGGAUUGUAAAGCACUUUAAGUUGGGAGGAAGGGCAGUAAGUUAAUACCUUGCUGUUUUGACGUUACCGACAGAAUAAGCACCGGCUAACUUCGUGCCAGCAGCCGCGGUAAUACGAAGGGUGCAAGCGUUAAUCGGAAUUACUGGGCGUAAAGCGCGCGUAGGUGGUUUUGUAAGUUGGAGGUGAAAUCCCCGGGCUCAACCUGGGAACUGCCUCCAAAACUGCAUGACUAGAGUACGGUAGAGGGUAGUGGAAUUUCCUGUGUAGCGGUGAAAUGCGUAGAUAUAGGAAGGAACACCAGUGGCGAAGGCGACUACCUGGACUGAUACUGACACUGAGGUGCGAAAGCGUGGGGAGCAAACAGGAUUAGAUACCCCUGUAGUCC